Molecule: ribosomal RNA, 253 nt
Filed under: uncultured bacterium
Lineage: Bacteria
Description: partial 16S ribosomal RNA
Rfam family: Bacterial small subunit ribosomal RNA
Source: RNAcentral
GACGUAGGGGGCGAGCGUUGUCCGGAUUUAUUGGGCGUAAAGAGCUCGUAGGCGGCUCGUUGCGUCGGCUGUGAAAACCCGCAGCUCAACUGUGGGCUUGCAGCCGAUACGGGCGGGCUGGAGUUCGGUAGGGGAGACUGGAAUUCCUGGUGUAGCGGUGAAAUGCGUAGAUAUCGAGAGGAACACCUGCGGCGAAGGCGGGUUGCUGGGCUGAUACUGACGCUGAGGCGCGAAAGCCAGGGGAGCGAACGGG